GGGGCGGGGCUUGGUGGUGAAAGCCACGCCCCCUUGCGAUGAUUUCAUAUUCAAUGAGGUCGGAACAGACGAGGGCAGACGUCAGCACAGUGACAACACGGACUUCAUUCACCUAAACACCGGCCGACAUGCUUCAUGGAUGCGUCGGUACAUCCUCUGUCAGCCAGUCAGAAGAGUUGGUCCACUUUCUAGCAGCCUCCUGUGAACUUUCCGCGUCUCCGGCAGCACGCAGCCGCUAUGAAGGGAUACCGGUGCCCCGGUGCGGCAUGCAAAUACGUACUCUGACGUCGGCGAUCAUGUGGCUUUUGGCGUAGAUCCUCCUUGUGAUCGUCGAUUUUUUUUGUCCCCCCCCCCCACUCCUGUCGCCUGUUGUCUGCCUAGCUACUGAAGCUACACUGUUUCAAACAGCUUUUCCCGCAUUCUGGCGCUUUGGGAUUGUAACGCACGCUACCCGAGCAUCGCGACGGAACAGUGGACAGACUGUCAGGAGUUGGGGCUCCAGCACAGAGGUCUUUCUGCAUACAGAAACCAACUGGAAGACCAAGGUGGUGUCCUGUCAUGCAUUUUCAUGAGGUCAUCUUGCUGCGGAGCUGACACUGUCAGCGAGACGUGCUCAGAACUUCACCCUCUAUUGCUCCGUUCUCUGCAGCCACUCAUUGUGGCCCAGGGGGCAGUGGCUCCCCUGUUCUAAAAGUCUGACCUGUCCACAGUACAAGUCAGUCCUCCUGGCGAGUCGAAACAUUGUCUGGGCAGUCGUCCUGCCUCACUCUCUCUCCAGUCAUAGUUUCCUUUCCCGGAUAUCUGGCCAAGUAAAAGUGCAAGGAGCCCUCCAUCAUUAUUCAUCAUCAUCAUGUCUAGCCGGCGGAAGGCUUCCACCCCCUGUAUGAUCCGACCACAGGAGACCAUGGUGGAGUUGGAUGAUGAUGAGGAGACAACAGAGAACCAUACUGAGGAGGAUGCUAUGGAGACCGAUCCAUCUGCUGACCUAGACCUGACGGGGAAGACCCCUGAAUCCCUAGCAGCACCUGACAUCCCAGUGUCUGAGUCAUCAGACAGUUCCAAGCCUUCAUGUAAACAGCAAAGGGGCUAUGAGUGCAAGUACUGUACCUUUUCCACUCAGAACCUCAACACAUUCAAAGAACACGUGGAUGCCAACCACCCCAACGUCAUCCUCAACCCACUGUAUCUGUGUGCUGUCUGUAAUUUCAACACAAAAAAGUUUGACUCCCUUACAGAACAUAACGAUAGGAAUCACCCAGGGGAGAGCAACUUCAAGUUUAAACGCAUCAAAAUGAACAAUCAGACCAUCUUGGAACAGACAAUAGAGGGCUGCAGUAACAAUGCAGUCAUUUACAAUAGUUCCAGUGUCGUGUCUGGUAAAGCAGAGGGGCAGAGCACUGUGCCCCUCAGCAAAACCACCGCAAUCAAGAUCGGGAAACAAAAAGUCAUGUCUUCAGAUAAUAAACAGACGGAGCCUCAUUUGUGUAAACUGAACCCCGACUUGACGAAGAAAGCAAUCACAGCACUCAAUGUCAACGGGACAGUAAUCAUCCCAGAGUCGACUCUCCUCAAAGCUGAUGGCCUUUCUCACAUCAUGCCUUCCCUGCAGCGGCCUGUAAACUACACCCAGGUGCCGAAGAUCGCUAUUCCACUCAACACAACCAAAUACAACCCUUCUCUGGAUGACAACCUGACCCUCAUCUCUUCCUUCAACAAAUUCCCAUACCCAACACAAGCUGAGCUCUCUUGGCUUACUGCAGUCUCGAAACAUCCAGAGGAGCAAAUUAAAGUGUGGUUUACCACGCAGAGGCUCAAACAGGGCAUUAGCUGGUCACCGGAGGAGGUGGAGGAAGCACGAAAGAAGAUGUUCAAUGGUACAAUCUCCUCUGUGCCUCAGACCUUCACAGUUGUAACUUCUCAGCUUACCACUCAGUCAUCCGCCAAUCCAUCACCAGUAACCACCGCAGUCUCCAAAUCAGUGCAGCCUGCAGCCUCAGUCCUCCAGUCCGUCCCCUGCCAACUCCUGGGACAGACAAGCCUGGUGCUGACUCCUGUUGCCAACGGCUCUACUGUCACAUGUGCACCACUGGCACUCACGUUGGCUAACCAGGUUGCCCAGUCACUCAAACGACCCUUGCCCUCACCCUCAACUGCCUCAGAGAAUAAACGGCCCUCCAUCAUUCAAGCCAUAUCUGCGCCUAUUGCAACAUCCAAGCUGGCAUCGCCCAAAGUGUUAAACUUCACUGCAGACCCCAACAAAACAGCUGAGCAGCUCUCAGUGCUACGGUCCAGCUAUAUGCAGUGUCCUUUCCCUGAGGAAGAAGAGAUCUACAGGCUGAUAGAGACCACUGGGCUGUCCAGAGGAGAGAUUAAGAAGUGGUUCAGUGAACAAAGGCUCCUUAAUCUCAAAGGUGUUCCUCCGCCCCCAGUGCUGGUGAAAGCUGAUGUGACUCCAGUACCUAAAGAUGGACCCGUGAGGAAAGCGGUCCCGAGCCACUUCCCCCUGCUGGAGCGGGUCAAGGGGAAGUCCACGGAGCAACUGAAUGCACUCGAGGAGAGUUUCCAGAGAAGCAGCACUCCAACGGACACUCAGCUUGAUCAAUUGGCCCAGGAGACCAGGCUGUCCAAGACUGAGGUGGACUGCUGGUUUUCUGAGCGCAGGGCGCUGAGGGACAACAUGGAGAAGGCGUUGCUCAGCGUGACCUCCAAGAAUACAGAUGACAAAGGCGACAGGCCAGGCGUGUUGCUCAAUGGUUCCUCUCAUCGUGAGCAGGAUGGGAAAAUUCUCCAAUCAUCAGCUCUCCCACAGUUCCUUUCUUCUUCUUCGUCAUCCUCAUCCUCCCCUCCUAUGCUUGCAGCAUCGUCCCCUCAUCCUCCAACCUUGUCUGGCUCUGCUUCACCUCCCAUCCUUAAUUCAUCCUCCUCCUCUCCACAUCCUCCCAUCCUAUCUGUGUCGACGAGCCCAGCUCCCAUCCCAAGUGGCUCCCUCACUCUGCUGCGAGAGAUGUUCUGUCGGACCCAGUGGCCAACACCUGAAGAGUACAGCCAGCUGGAGGGGCAAACAAGCCUGGGCCGCACUGACAUUGUCCGCUGGUUUAAGGAACACCGCUCGGCCCGAAAGAACGGUGAGACCUUGGACUGGUUGGAAGCUUACCAGAGCCAAAAAGAACAGCAGAAAUCAGGACAAGAGCAGAAGAGAGACAAUUUUGACAAACAACAACAAAGUGUACCACUGGAAGGAAAAGUGGAGGAAGCAGGUGAGAAGAAAACCGCAGAAGCCGCAUCUACGGAGAACUCCAAGCUGUCCAACCCAGACACAGUACAGUGGUUGACUGAAAAACUCACUCACAGUGUGUCAGACCUGGGCCAGGCCAGGCUGGACCAGACCAGUUCUAAUAUUGCUGAAAAGGGAAGCUUGCGCAUUAUGUUUUCGGCAGGUGGGUUCAGGUGACUGUGGCUGUGGGCGAAGAGAGUGAGGCAGGAUUACAAAGACCGAGACUGGCAGCAGAUGCUGAUGUUUUGACCUUGGAGCAACCUGGGAGGGUCACUGGCUGAUGAUGAUGUGAAUCCAUACACGAGUCACAAAGGUAACUUAAGACACAGAUGCCAAAAGUGCAAGUGGAGUUGUAUCCCCAUGCCGGUGGUGUGGUGACAAAGCAGGUUGGACGUCUGCUCGCCUGUCCCGUGACGUGUGGUGCAGAUGCUCACAUGUAGAGGAGUGCCAAAGCUGGACUUAAUGAUUAAUUUUGGGGGGGAAGAAGUAUCCUUGUAAAUAUCUUUCUGUAUUGCUAAAUACGUGUGUACAGUUGUCUUGGAAGGGCAUGUUUUUGUUUUUUUUAAGACUUGUGCCCAGUACUUAAAAUGUUUGUGUUGUUGUAGCUAAAUGUUGGAAAAAAGCUGUUUAUUUGCUGAAAAUGAAUGCUAUUUUGGAGGAAAAUUUAACCUGCUUUCUGCUUAGUAUGAGUACUUUUUUUCUUAAUGGCACUUGUAUUACUAUAAGGCUUUCUUGCGCUCGGCCGCCUCAUCUCCAGCUAGAACUUUUCUCUAGCAGCGUCAGCCCCUUAUAAAAGGAGUCUCAGACAAUGUUCUCGAAGGAGAGUGAGUGAGUGAGUGAGAGGGAGUGGAUUGUGGGAGUGCAAGCUUGGCCUCACUGCUGGAGACUGAGCUCGACGUUUGCCACAAAGAGCCACCACGUGUGCAGACCAAUUAGGCCAAUGAAUGAUAGAAUGCACUAACUUGUAUCUUUUUUGUGCUCCUGCACCAGUACCUGAGGCAAUAACAGUGCAGAAUGUUCUUAUUUCUGUUCUACUAAUGUUUAAAGACAAAGUCUGUCUGAUCACACCAUGCUGCCUUUUUAGCUCUUUCCGCAUCAACUGAUGAAGAUGAUGAUUCAUAUGGAUUUGGGGGGCGGCAAACUGGCUAUUUUUCACUGAAUUUGCAGGGUUGUGGAGAUUAUUGACUGACGAUUAAACAACUAAAGCAGUUUCAAGUGUGAAUCUUGUUCAGCUGUGAAUUCUGAACGUCUCGUCCGCUUUUGCCUUUCUGGGAUUUGUCUUCUCAACUGGCAGUUGGGGAUUUUGGUUAUUACUGUACAGUCUGCAAUUUUUCUUUUACACGUAAGAUCAAAACUUGGUUGACUGCCUUACAAUCUUUUUUUUUUUUUUCUUGUACUCAAGAUUUAAAGGGAUAUUGUGUCUUUUGUUUUGUCUAAUUGAAUCCUCAUGCUAGCGAUUCCACUGUCACUUCUAUAUAAUGCUGGUUUGAAAAGCAAAAUGAACAUUUCUGCAGCUUAAAUUUCAUGUUCAAGCGUAUUCUGGCUUCUGGUUGGCUUCUAAGGAAUACUGCCUGCAUUUUUAUUUUCUACUUUAAAUCUGCUCUAACUCAAUAAAUACACAAUGCUG
This is an RNA transcript of Phyllopteryx taeniolatus (common seadragon), 4901 nucleotides long. It is a transcript of the gene named zinc fingers and homeoboxes protein 2-like, with no coding region annotated. The transcript is spliced from 14 exons. NCBI's taxonomy places the organism in Eukaryota, Metazoa, Chordata, Actinopteri, Syngnathiformes, Syngnathidae. The record is from RefSeq and is a predicted model, not a curated record.